CUCCUCUGAUGCGCGCCGUUCGGCGCAUUCUUGGCUCCCCGACGGCCAGAGCUUCCUCUGAUGCCCGAGGGCCGACGCCUCCUUGGCUUUCCGGCGGCCGGUUACUUCUUCAUGGCGAGCGGCAGCUACACUGGCUUCCGCAGCAAGCGGUAGCGGAAGAUGGCGCCAGGUCAGCGAUGAUGAGUGGCGUGCGGUUGACGGCCGUGACAGAGUGGACGACAUGACCGUGUGCUCACCAGUGACGCAGGUAGCGGGAAGAGCCAUGGUGGCGGCGGCGCUUCGACGCUUUGAUCGAGGGAGAUGCGGGAACAUAGCUGCCGUCGGAGGAGCACAAGUAUUUUCUCGACCACAUCUCUCUCGUAUGCACUCUUUCUCAGCCGCUGGCACCAAGAGGCAAGAGCUCAAAGGCAGAAGCCCGUGAACUUUGAUCUCAAGUUCUUGGAUAUUCUUGAACUGAGCCACGGUAAAAUGUUCCCUUGCUCUCUAGGGAUGUUGCAAUAGUCGACUCAUAGUGCAGCAAAGGGUGUGCGUCAGUUCACGUUGGAGAGGAAGAUAUGGACCAAGUUGUGAGAGUUGCACAACCUGGAAAAGAUGAGGAGGCAAAUGAACAUCAUCACCAGCUAGGAGACGGUGAGCGCCACAGCCACGGGGCACGUACUUCAUGUCCUCUGAUCAGGAGAGCACCCUCGCUGUCAUCCAUCCAUGGCUCCGCUCGCCGAUAAAAAAGAGCGACGAGGGGGGACAGAGGGUCGCAAUGCCAGGCGUACCUCCUUGACGGUGUACUGAAGCACUCUUCUUGCGGUGUACGCUCGCAGGUGGACAAGGAGCACACACAAAUAAAAAGGAAUGAUAGACAAUGAGUAGUGAAGAUAUGGUUGACAUGUUCAUUGGUUACUGCAAUCAGGGUCACAUCAAAUCUUCCUAGCUAGCAAGCUAAAAGUACAGCGAUGAAGGAGCCUAUGUCAGCUAGCUGUAUUUCUGUGCAUGUAUGGAAUAUAGCGACAAAGUAGCUUCUGUUAGCUAGCCGUACUUCUGGGUAUGUAAUCUAAUAAAUGGAGUUUUAAUUAUGAAACAAUUAUUCGUAUUUUUGUGUGUUGAGGGGUGGUAACAGUCAUAUUAAUUAAAUGGAUCUCGGUUAGGUAAACAGUCAUACUAUCUAAAUUGAGUCCUACUUUCGUACUUCACCAUCUCUGUUAAAUUUUAAUCACCAGAAAUGUGUCCUCUUAUCUAAUGUAAUCUUAUAAACUCUGUAAUCAUGCCCAAAUAUGAAUUAGCACCACCAGCUAAUCCUAAUUUUAUAGUUGAAUUUGUGUUGGCACCACUAGGUCAUGUGGAUUGGAUCUGACGCAUGCAAUAGCAACAAGGGAAGCAAGGCGAAUCCAGGGUCACACACACAUGGGGCACUAGCGUGGCAGCGAGUCCGGCGACCACCGGCGCGGGAACUCUGGCUUUCAGGUGAACCAUUCCUCUCCCUGCCUUUUUUUACUUCCCUUGAUCGUAUAAUUUAUCACAUAUUUUCUUUUCUUUUUUUCAGUUCAGUCAAGUCAAGCUAUCACUGGUUUACCACAUUGCAUGGGCAACAUGCUCCUUGCUAUUGGAGUCCAUGGUGCAGGUCUCCUAUGGUGCAUAUCCGUUCAGUGACAGACUUAUUCAACUUUCUCAAGCUAUUCCCACACUUUGAUUUCAUUCAGAAAUGGAAUUUUGACACAGAUAGAUCAAAGGAAAUAUUCUGAAUUUUGGGCGAUCAGUAAAGGAGGUGAUCGAAGAUUUAGUUAAGUCAGAGAAUGAGAUCACGGAGGCUAGGCCCACAAAGAGUAGGAGCUCGACUGGUCGGACCAAGAUGACACCACCAAAGAAGAACCUGAGGAACCUGAGGGUACAGCCAGUGAUGUCGUCAUCCUCUCCUCCGAGGAUGAAGACAACGCCAACGAGCGAUGGCAAGAGGCUGGAAUAAUCAGAGCACUUGCGUGGGCAUAGUGAUCUACCCUACUGCUUAAGUUCAGCUUACUGAAUGUAUGACAUAAUCUAGCGUUGCAUGCUAUUAGUGUUUAGUGCCUAAUGAGGUAUGCAAUGCAAGUUUCACUUCUAAAUGUUUUUACACCGUUGUAACUUAAAAUAGGAGCAUAUUUCACUAUUCAACUUGCUGCUUCCUUUAA
Lolium rigidum is the source of this 2156-nucleotide long non-coding RNA. RefSeq lists it as uncharacterized. The record is from RefSeq and is a predicted model, not a curated record. The transcript has 8 exons. Lineage: Eukaryota; Viridiplantae; Streptophyta; Magnoliopsida; Poales; Poaceae.